CCUUAUCCUCUCUGCAACUCUUCCAACAACCUCAUCACUGCACCAUCUAUCUAUCACACCUUUAAUUUGCUUAGCUUAAACCUCUAAUCUAAACUAAUCUACUUCACAAUGCUUGUCCGAUCCAUAUCCUCCUCUCACUGUUUUUCUUUACAACCUCCGCAACCGAAACCAAUACCUCAGCCGGCCACGCCAUCCCCUUUCCCACCAUUUCAACGUUAAACAAUCCGUUUCUCGGGCACCUCGCGUCUCAAUAUUCGACACAUGCUACGGCUUAAACGGUUGAUGAAAGGGGCACGUUUUGCUUUGCAUUUGCUCCAUCUCCAACCGGACUAUCCAUCAUAGCAAGAAGGCAUCCAGAUUUCGUUUGACAGCUCAAAUGAUUUUGUGAGUUUUGGCCCCAAUAUUUGUUAACUUAUUAAGCCCGAUCCCUAAAAAUAAUAAUUAUUAUGUAAAUUUUGUUAGUCCAACUACGAUAUAUAUCAUCGAGAGAUAUAUAUCAUCGAGAGAAUCAAGGCAAAAUGCCUACAAGAAUUUUACUUUUACUUUUAUUUUUUUUAUUUUUUUUUUUCAAUAUGGAGGGGGAAACCCAGGCAACACAAGAGUCAUAAACAUGGCUCCAAGCUGGAAUCUGAAGCACACAUAACCUACUGGUGCUGAUUCGGGCCAAAGUAGCAAGGGCGUCGGCUGGUUUGUUUUGUUCUCUUGGGAGCCAAGAAAGAUUCCAUUGACCAAACUUACAUGCUGUGAGAAUAUUGUAGGCUGGCCUAUGGGGAAGACAAUUGCACAGAAUACUUGCCACACUGUCCUUGGAAUCA
Long non-coding RNA from Ipomoea nil (Japanese morning glory), 815 nucleotides. RefSeq lists it as uncharacterized. The transcript has 2 exons. NCBI's taxonomy places the organism in Eukaryota, Viridiplantae, Streptophyta, Magnoliopsida, Solanales, Convolvulaceae. The record is from RefSeq and is a predicted model, not a curated record.